Molecule: ribosomal RNA, 475 nt
Filed under: uncultured bacterium
Lineage: Bacteria
Description: bacterial SSU rRNA
Rfam family: Bacterial small subunit ribosomal RNA
Source: RNAcentral
GGCGAACGCUUGCGGCGUGCCUAAGAAAUGCAAGUCGAGCGGGGGAGCAAUCCCUAGCGGCGAACGGUCGCGUAACACGUAAGCAACCUGCCCGAAAGACCGGGACAACGUUUCGAAAGGAACGCUAAUACCGGAUGUGACCGUCUGUUUACCUGAACGGACGAUUAAAGCGCGAAAGUGGCUUUCGGAGGGGCUUGCGGCCUAUCAGCUAGAUGGCGGGUAACGGCCCACCAUGGCGACGACGGGUAGCUGGUCUGAGAGGAUGGUCAGCCGGACUGGGACUGAGAUACGGCCCAGACUCCUACGGGGGGCAGCAAUUAGGGAAUCUUGCGCAAUGGGCGAAAGCCUGACGCAGCGACGCCACGUGGGGGAGGAAGGCCUUCGGGGUUGUAAACCCCUUUUAUCGGGAAUGGAAACAAUGACAGUACCCGGUGAAUAAGCCCCGGCUAACUCCGUGCCAGCCCGCCGCCGUAAU